Molecule: microRNA precursor, 118 nt
Filed under: Marmota monax (woodchuck)
Lineage: Eukaryota; Metazoa; Chordata; Mammalia; Rodentia; Sciuridae
Source: RNAcentral
UAAGGUGAUCAAUCAUCCUGGUUUGCCAGGGUCUGUCCAGGUUUCAGCACUGAAAGUUCCAUUCCAGAAAAUUUCUCAGUAGUGGGCAAACUGGGAAGGCUGGUCACCAUAGUUCUAG